UAAGCAAUGAACACAAACUUUUGGACUGCGUAGUCAACCUAAUGUAUUUUUAAAAGUAAUGUUUAGGCAGAUAAUACAAAUUAUAAGAUCUAUGGUAUUGUUUAAAUGUUAUUUGUUUAUAGACUAUAUACAGAUGUCCAGUUGUCCCUUUGCUGUUUUAUAUGUUGUAUUUUAUUGAGUUUUUAUUUCUUUUUGAAUUCGGUUCAGAGACAAAAAAAGGUUGGAAAGGAGAGGGUCCUCACUCAGCUGAAGGAUACACUGAGGAAACCACUCCACUCUGAUCCACGCAGAACCAACCCGUUACAUAGUGAGGAGGAAGUUCAAGCCGAAACCGUGGACACAAAUGUGGAUUUGUUCGAUUACCCAGAGAAUUUUCAACCAACCGAUACCUUAGAUGCUGCUGAGGCAAGUGGAGAGAGCGUGGAACAGCCAUUAUUUGUCAGUGGUGAAGUGUUGAAAGCUUUGAAAGAAAUUCCCACCUUAGUGCAGUGUGUCAAGGAACUAAUAUCCUCAAUGAACACAGGGAUCGAUACAGCAAGCACAAGCUCAGGGUCCUCCAGCUCAGCCCAAGAGAUGAUUUCUCUGGGCAACAUGGCUGUCCAAGUCAACAAAACCUGCUUUAGGAGAUUGAAUAGGAGCAGAAUGUCCCUGUUCACUCAAGAGUUGGCUGUUUUGUUGUUUGGGAGGGAGGUUCUGGGUUCAUCUAGCCUCACUGGGAAUAGGUCCCAAAAAGAAAGGCUGAACCCAGAAAAAAUGAAUGCACUUAUCGACACUGUCAUAUCUGAGUUUCCGGGCACGUCACAGUCCGAGGUUAGAGC
This is a long non-coding RNA of Cyprinus carpio carpio, 818 nucleotides long. The record is from Ensembl. Lineage: Eukaryota; Metazoa; Chordata; Actinopteri; Cypriniformes; Cyprinidae.